AUGCAGAUGAAGCUUGGGUGUUUGGGUAGCAUAUGGGGCCGUGCAGGGUUUGAUGUGAGGAAGAGAAACAAACAUGUAAGCAAGUUUGAUGGUGAAGUGACUUCAUGCAGAUUUGUUUGUUCCAAUGAGGGUCUUCGGAAAAAAGAGAUAACAUUGGGCCAUGUGCCAAAGCGUAUUAGAGCUGAAACAAGAACAGAUUGCAAAGCCCGGAUGACUAUAGCAUUGGAUCGAGUGGCAAAAAAUUAUGAAGUCACAGAUAUUGUGCUAGAACACAAUCAUUACCUUCAAUUGCCACAAACUUGUCACUUGAUGGCAUCACAAAGGAAGAUUUCCGAAGUACAAGAUUUUGAAAUAGAAGCCGCUGAUGAUUCUGGAAUCAUGCCAAAACCUGCACAUGAGCUUGCUUGUCGUCAAGUUGGUGGACCACUUAACCUCGGCUACACUUAUGUUGACCAAAAGAAUCAUUUGCGAAGCAAGCGGCAGAGAGAGUUAGCUUUUGGACAGGCUGGUAGUAUGUUGAAGUACUUCCAUGAAAAAAUCGUUGAGAAUCCAUCUUUCUAA
RNAcentral lists this ribosomal RNA (561 nucleotides) under Triticum aestivum (bread wheat). Its description in RNAcentral is "partial small subunit ribosomal RNA". The record is from RNAcentral. Lineage: Eukaryota; Viridiplantae; Streptophyta; Magnoliopsida; Poales; Poaceae.